This 507-nucleotide ribosomal RNA is filed under the name Newportia stolli. RNAcentral describes it as "partial small subunit ribosomal RNA". It matches the Rfam family "Bacterial large subunit ribosomal RNA", at positions 1819 to 2600 of the family's 2925-position model. The record is from RNAcentral. Lineage: Eukaryota; Metazoa; Arthropoda; Chilopoda; Scolopendromorpha; Scolopocryptopidae.
GGUUCUUUGGAUAAAAUAAAGUAAAGAAUCUUACCUGCCCAGUGAUGGAAAUUUAACGGCCGCGGUAAUUUAACUGUGCGAAGGUAGCAUAAUCAAUUGUCUAUUAAUUAUAGACUGGAAUGAAUGGUGUGACUAGGGAUUGGUUGUCUUAGAGUUAUUUUGAAAUUUUCAUUUUCUUGAAGAGGAGAAGAUGAUUUAGGGGGACGAGAAGACCCUAUUGAGCUUUAUAUAGAGAGUAUAUAUAUAUUUGUGGAGAAUUGGAUAUAAAAUAUAUUUUGCUGGGGCGGUGUGGUUAAUAUACAAACAAUUUUAAAAGUAAAAAUAAUAAUAACUGAGGGUAUGAUCCAAUAUUAUUGAUUAUUAGACUAAGUUACUGUAGGGAUAACAGCGUAAUAUUAUUUUGAAGUACUAAUUUAUGAUAAAGAUUGCGACCUCGAUGUUGGUUUAGGAAACUUAUUUGGUGCAGAUGCUAAGUUAAGUAGUCUGUUCGACUAUUAAAUUCCUAUA